Molecule: ribosomal RNA, 394 nt
Filed under: uncultured soil bacterium
Lineage: Bacteria
Description: bacterial SSU rRNA
Rfam family: Bacterial small subunit ribosomal RNA
Source: RNAcentral
AGAUUGAACGCUGGCGGCAUGCCUUACACAUGCAAGUCGAACGGUAGAGUAGCAAUACUCGAGAGUGGCGAACGGGUGAGUAAUAUAUCGGAACGUGCCCAGUCGUGGGGGAUGACGUAGAGAAAUUUACGCUAAUACCGCAUACGAUCUACGGAUGAAAGCGGGGGAUCGCAAGACCUCGCGCGAUUGGAGCGGCUGAUAUCAGAUUAGGUUGUUGGUGAGGUAAAAGCUCACCAAGCCGACGAUCUGUAGCUGGUUUGAGAGAACGACCAGCCACACUGGGACUGAGACACGGCCCAGACUCCUACGGGAGGCAGCAGUGGGGAAUUUUGGACAAUGGGCGAAAGCCUGAUCCAGCAAUGCCGCGUGCAGGAAGAAGGCCUCGGUGUAACUG